Molecule: non-coding RNA, 7824 nt
Organism: Oryctolagus cuniculus (rabbit)
Lineage: Eukaryota; Metazoa; Chordata; Mammalia; Lagomorpha; Leporidae
Source: RefSeq, a predicted model, not a curated record
GAACACAAAGCCACACACAUAAAUAACGACGGGGCGGAAGAAGAGGGUGCAGAUGGUGUGUGACACUGCCGUCCACACCGGCGAACCCAGAGUCACUUUUCAGAAAUCAGCAACAAGGAGGAGAGCAGAAGCCAAGAGACAGGCCCUGGACACCGCCGGCGGCGACCCGCGGGAAGGCAGGAGUGGAAGCCCAGAGAGCAAGCUCUGGCCUUCAGCCUCUCCCCAUGCUCUGCACUUGGGUGAUGCCCUCUCCCCAGCCCCGAGGGGUUCCUCCCCAACUUGGAGAGCUGCCAGCUUCCUCACUCAGGAGCUGGGGGGUCUGGGUGGGGGGCCAGGGGGGACUGGCAGAGUGUCCCCCGGGGGUGAAGGCGCCCCCUGGUGGACACCUGGAUGCUUGCUCCUGACCCAGGCCUUCUAGCACACUCCGGGCUCAGUGCCCUGGGAGGUGAAGGCACAGAGAGAGGCAUGGGGGCCUCGCAGUGGGGCUCCGUGCCCCUGAGUCAUUUUCCACAUGCUGCCUUGCCCUCGACACACAGACGCGCUCUCAGAGUUGGGACGGCGGCCGCCUCCCUCCAGAGCUGGGCCGGCCACCUGCCGGGUGACCCUCCUUGCUUCGAUUUCUGUCCCUAUAGCUCAGCAGCCUCCAGCUCCCCUCUCAAAGCCAGCUGCAGCCAUCUCAGGUCCCUCUGGACCCCGGGGUCCCAGCCCACCCCACCUGGCCCUGGCUUGUGGGCAGUUCUGGAACACCCUGAAUGCACCAUCAUGCCGGGCUGGGGCCGACAUUUCUGUUUUCCCUGAAGGCUCAAAGCUGCACCCCAGCCCCGCCAGGCAGAGCAGCCCAUUUGGGGUUUGACUUCGGUUAGAAAUCAGCACGCAGCCAUCUGCAGGUGAUGGAAAUGGGGCUUAAGUAACUUUUCGGUCAAGGCUUCUUGGCCAGAGCCCAGAUGGAAAUAAGAGCUCUCGUCUCCAUCUCCCUCUGCACACUUUUGGAAAAUGCGGCGGGGAGAAUCGUGGAAACUGCAGCUCCAAGCGGAGUGUGCUCUGUUUCUUGGCCCCGGAAAGGGAAAAUAAACACCCAACAGCUUCUCCAUUCAAGCGCGUGUUAUCUGGCGCAUCCUGGCCAAGAACUCGCUCCCCUCCCUGCUCCGGCCGGGAAUGACUGCGCCUCCCAAAAGCCCCGACGCCCACCCCUAACCCAGAGCAGGCAAACAAUGGGGCCAGAAACCCGGCUCAGCCAAGGCCUCUCCCUGCAGCCCCUAGAGGCCGGCACAUUGAGAAACACACGGCUAUUUUUACUGUACUGUUUGUCCACCAUCUGCAACUCCAAGGCCUGAGAAGCAGUGGUGCCUGUGGGAGGUGGCAUUGAGUUUUGUGUGUGCCUGCCUCUGUGUGUGUGUGUGUGUGUGUGUUAACUUGCUCAGACAAAGCUACAUUUUUGAAACUUCAAAAAAGCAACACCCUGCAAGAAUGAUCUUUUCCCUGGCUUGCCCUGUAGGGGACUCUCUUGGGGGGGUCUGGGAAACAGCCCCCUCCCCACUGCUCUGCCACAGGCCCCAGGUCCAGAGCGCAGAGAGCCAACAGGAGAGGGAAACCCGGAGCCGCGGAGGGGAGGUGGGAAGGGGAAGCGCGGGUCUGAGACGAGAGGGGUUGUGCAGCCAGCGGCCCGGGGCCUCCCAGUGUGAUGGGCCCCUCCCUGGGGAUCCCUCAUAGAAAAAGGGAAGGGGAUGCUGGCUGGUGGCACAGUGAACUAAGCCCCACUUGCGCCACCAGCGUCCCAUAUAGGAGCACUGGUUCAAGUCCCGGCUGCACUGCUUCCUAUCCAGCUUCCUCCUAAUGUACCUGGGAAAGUCACAGAAGGUGGCCCCUGCCACCUGCGCGGGAGACCCAGAUGGAGUUCCACGCUCCUGGUUUGGGCCUGGCCUAACCCUGGCUGUUGUGGGCACUUGGGAAAUAAACCAGUGGAUGGAGGAUCUCUCUCUCUCUCUCUCAAAUAAAAUAAAAGUAAAUAAAUAAAAAUUUAAAAGAGACCUGACUUAACCUUCUGAAAAGAACGUAUUGUAAAUGGCUGACGGGUGGCAGCGCCGGUGCCUGCGGCGUGGGCCCCUGGAUCGUAGCUGCCGUUGCUAGGAGCAGGGACUCAAAGAACUCAUGCAAGAAUAGAAUCAAAAGAUAAUGUGCAUUUUCUGUGACCUUUUAGUUUCAUCUCCUUGAAAGGCAGAGAGAGAGAGAGAGAGAUCUUAGAUCCCAUUCCGACCUGUUCUUUCCUGAGUGGUGAAAGUGUGUUGUGACUGAGUAUGUGUUAACGGGUGGUCUACAGCUCACGGGUUCACAGUGGCUGGCAGCAGGACUGGGUUGAUGUUCGCAUUGAAGCCACUGGUGGAGAGUGAGAGGUAGAUAAAGUCAGGGCCCACCCAGAACCCCGGGGCCACACCUUGGAGGAGGGUGCAGGCUUGAACCUGGGCUGGGUUGGCUGUCCGCCUGCGAUGGAGUUGGGGUGAUGAUGCCUGAGGGAGCCGCUGGAGACCCCUUGGCACAACGCCUGCCUGCAACUGCUCUCUGCCAGAGCAGUGAGGACACUCUCUGAGAACAGGGACCGCGAUGUCCAGGGGAAAGCCUGCUGUCACAGCGGCGUGCUGAGUGCGAUCCGCGGGAAGUGGGGAGGCGGGGCCGCGUGGCUGCGUUUGCUGGGAUUUACCCUGGCAAAUUCUGAAAGGACACCUGAGCAAUGAGUGCGCUAGGUCUCCUUGCAGGAGGGCACCCGGCAGGAGCAGAACGUUUAAACAUUUAAUUGGUUAAUUAAUUUUAUUUGAAAGGCAGAGAGACAGAGAAAGAAACAAGAUCUCCCAUCCUCUGGGUCACACCCCGAGAUGCCCCCGACAGCUGGAGCUGGACCGGGGGAAGCCAGGAGCCAGGAACUCAAUCCAGGUCUCCCGUGUGACUGGCAAGGACCCGGCUACUUGAGCCAGCACAUCAGCUGCUGCCUUCCAGGUGUCGCAUUAGCAGGAGGCUGGAAUUGUGGGCAGAGCCGGAAUCUGCAUCCAGGCACUCCGAUAUGGGACGCUGGCCUCCCAAGCGGCGUCAACCUCUGGCACCAGAUGCCCGCCCUCGGGAGCAGGAUUUUUGACUUUGCACCUCUUUGGCAGCCAAUGUGGACCCAUCACCCAUGAACACAGAAAAAGUGAGCUACUAAUACAAUUUUUGAUGGUCAUUUAUUUAUUUUUAUCUAUUCUCAUCUACUUGAAAGACAGAGCAAGAGACAGGGAAAAAGAGAGAGAGAGAGAGAGAGAGAGAGAGAGAGAGGUAUCUCCCACCCACUGGUUCACUCCCCAAGGGCCCACAGCGGCCAGGACUGGGCCAGGCUAAAGCCAGGAGCCAGGACCUCCAUCUGGGUCUCCCAUGUGGGUGGCAGGGGCCCAAGCAGCUGCACCGUCCUCCUCUGCCUCCCGGGCUCCAUCAGCAGGAAGCCACAUGGAAAGCAGAGCAGUCAGGACCGCAGGCAGCACCCCACCGUGGGCGCCGGUAUCCCAGGCAGCAGCCUAGCCUGUGCCCACAGCGCCUACCCGGGGCUGCUAACUCUAUUCUUCCGUCCGAGCAUCAGUGUUUUCCCAGCUGAGGAAGGAGUUCCGUGUCCUGCCUGCCUAACUGGGCUUUUCCAGGGAUUCAGAGAGGAAGCGCAGGUGAGUGCCCAGAGACGCGGAAGGCUGAGGUGAGGGUGGGGCGAGGGUGAGGAGGCGGACAAGGGAGAGGGAAGAAGGGGCCGUGGCUGCGGUAGGUCUCCCUCAGGUGGGCCCAGUGGGAUACUCGCUGAGCCGUCGUCCCUGGAGCUGAGCUCAGGUGAGUUAGACUCACCGACUGCACGCUCUGGCCCCAGCCCUGGUCUCUUUCCCCAGGCACCCAAGCAUUCCAGGGGAGGCCGGGGCUGGAGCCCUGGCUGUGACUCUUAGCACCUGGCCAGAGCUGUUGGGAGCAGGAGGAGGCCCUGGGGACACUGGGAUGUGGAUGGAUGAGCCAUUGACAGGAGGGGUGGCAAGUGUACCUGGCCCUGAGCUCGUCCACCCUGGAUCCCACUCCUGGCUGGAUGAGGAAAUUGGGGCUUAGUGAGUCUGGGGGACACGUGUGGCUGGCUGGAGAGGAGCUGGGAUUCAAUGCCGGGCAGCGUGGCUCCUCCUACCUCUUGUCGCAGCUCAGAGCUGACCACCUUUAGGUGGGCUUUGUUUCUAGAAGCAGAAUAGAAAGAACAACUUAGCUCUGAAAUCCCGCCAGCCAGGGCAGCACGUGUGGCCCCAGAACCCCUCGUCCAGGAGCUCUCCACACUAAUGAGAUGCCCAGGGCCCACGGGCAAGGACUGGGAGGCCGGGGCUUGGGACACCCCACUCCCCCGCCCCGGACUCAGUGCCCCUGGAACUGCGGGGGCACAAGGCUGGGAGAACCAAAGCGCUUUUCACAGAAUCCCAACAGGAAACCCGCGAGAACAUUCCUGCCCCGAGGAUUCCAACAGGAAAACCACGAGAACAUUCCUGCUCCUGGGCUCCAGCUGGAGCUGGAGUCUGUGUUCCCUGCGAGGAGGCUGGCCCAGGGGUGGCGGGGUCGGAGCAGAGGCUUAGCCAGCACCCCGAGGCGGAUCCAGAGUUCCUCCGAAGGCUCCCCGGCGGCCGAGGGUCACUUGGGAAGGGGCGGCUUCGUUUCCGGGCUCGCUCCCAGUGGCUGUCCGACCACACAGCUGCGCACUGCCCCUCCAAAUAUUUGCCUUUGAUUUAUUUUUAUUUUGCACUUCUAUUUUUAUUUAUUUGAAAGACAGAGACAGAGAUCUUCCAUGUGCUGGUUCAUUCCUCAAAUGAACAACAGCCCACAAGAGCCAGGACUGGGCAGGCCACAGCCAGAAGCCAGGAGCUCCAUCCAUGUCCCCUACAUGGGUGGCGGGAACCCAAGUACUUGAGUUACCGCCUGUUGCCUCCCAGGGUGUGCAUUAGCAGGGCGCUGGAAUCAUGAUUAGAACAGGGACUGGGACCCAGGCCUCUGAUUUGGGAUGUGGUAGCUUAACUGCUUGCACCUGUCCCCAAAAUGUUUGUGUUUCAAGGCCUGCCCUUCCAAGGGUCUUUGUAAUUGUACCAUACUGGGACUUGUGAACUUGUGAAGAACUUUCUGUUGAACUUAGUUGCCUUUCAAGACAACUCAGUCAGCUGCAGAGGCAGUCACACCGGCCCUGUCCAGCUUCCUGGCCUCAAGAUACUUCCAUGUUAUUUUAUUUUAUUUUUAAAUCUUGACAUCUUUUUUUUUUAAAGAUUUAUUUAUUCAUUUCAAAGGCAGAGUUACAGUGAGGCAGAGGCAGAGAGAGAGAGAGGUCUCCCAUCUACUGGUUCACUCCCCAAAUGGCUACAACAGCUGGAGCUGGGCCCAACUGAAGCCAGGAGCCAGGAGCUUCUUCCAGGUCUCCCAUAUGGGUACAGGGGACCCGAGGACUUGGGCCAUCUUCUGCUGCUUUCUCAGGCCACAGCAGAGAGCUGGAUCAGAAGUGGAGCAGCUGGGACUUGAACCAUGGGGAUGCUGACACUGUAGGUGGCAGUUUUACCUGCUACACCGCAGCGUCGGCCCCCGACACUUCCAUUUUAACCGAGGAGCACAUGGAGUGCUGAAGAGAAGUGACCAGUGCCCACAGGAACACCUGCUGCAGGCCAGGCCCUGUGCUGGGCUACGAGGCACAGUGACUCAGUUCCUCCCGCAAAACCAUCGCCUAAUCCGAGAGACCAGCAAAUCGGUGGCCGUUUCCCAGUAGGGGGAGAGUCACAACCAAGGUUUGCUCAGGAUGCAUAAAGACAGGACACCCAUCCCUGAGAGAGGAGAACAGGGAAGGCUUCGUGGAGGAAGCGACACUACCGUGUGCAGGAAGACGCCGCAGAGUUUGACUGGAAGGGCCAUGGGCCCUCAGGGGUGGGAUGCAGAGCGGUGGGCCCGGCCCCACACCUUGGUGGUGGUUAGGGUAUGGGCCGCGGGAUGGUGACAAGAGCUGAAUAAGGGCAGGGACAGGGAGCUGAGUCAGUCUGGGGCUCAGGAGGGCAGAUUCAACAUGGGCCAAGAUGGACCUGAAAGGGGCACAGGACACCCCAGAGAGCUGGCCACGCCCCAGUCUAGUGGGGACGUGUGUCUUUGCUCAGCGAAGAAGAGUGAGCGCCUCCAGGCAGGGAGAGGGCGGCAAGGAAGACAGGCAAAGAAAUCCCAUCCCUAAGGGGCACUCAGAGCUGGUGGGCUCGGACCAUACACCCAACACCUGCAUCUGCGACCGUCAGCGUCCUGGGGGACCCUUCCCCUGUGCAGGCCUCAGGGCUGAUCCAGGCCAGCGCCGAUGCAGGGGGCUGGGCCCACCCCACCCAGCAAGUCUCUAAGAGGGCCCAGGGCAGGGGGAGGGGGAGGGGGAGGCCAAGGGCACCCUGGACAGCCUCAAGCUGGGGUGGGGGGCCGAAACUGGACCAUCACCGCCCAGGGGCCGGGCAGUAGACCUGGUGCCGCAAGCGAGGAGACCGAGGGCUUUUACGACGGCAGUGGACGGGUCAGCAGGGGGCAAGGUCUUAUGGGCUCCAGAAACCAACCUUUAAAUGCCAGCAAUUCUACAGGACCAUUGUUAAAAUGUGGGCAAAAAUCAGCCGUGGCAGCAGUGCGGACCCCACGGAAAUCAGCGAAUGCUACAAAUCAAGCCUACAUUUUAUUUACUUUUUUGAUCCAGAGAGGUGGCUGAGACCAGGGUUCUUGACUUCUUUCCUCCGCGCCGUGGCUGAGCACCAUUCUGCCUCGCCUCUACCUGAAUGCUCUGACCCCCGUCUGCCACCGAGGGAUACGGGGGAGCAAGGAAGAAGCGGUCGCCGACGGAGCCUCUGUAGGGCAAAGGGCUGCGCAGAGGGAGCCGCCAUCGGGGCUGGAUUUCCUCUCGUCUUCCUGGAUGUCUGAUCUAAAUUUAGGUCCCGGGGGUCCAGGCUGAAGCCCGCCCCGCCCCUGCCUUUCCGUCCUUCCUGCAGGUGCUCUCUGUAGCACAGCCACAGGACGUCACCGCGGGAAGUCGCUCUGCCCUUUGUCGCCUCCUCCCUCUACCCCUCUACCCUCUACCCCUCCCUUGCGCCCAGAUUCCUGCAGCGGCUCCCUGCUCCUCUCCAGGUUCCCUGGGCCCUAGGCCACCCCCUCCCAGACCCAGUCACACCCCCUCAGCCACUCGCUGAGACAGCACAGCCUUCCACGCUAGGACACCCCAGGCAGACCCGGGGUCUCUCUAGGUCUCAUCUGUGCUGGGGAUCAGGCCAGCCCUCGCAGAGCCUCUGACACAGCCUGUGUGUCUUCGUGGGAGUGACAAAAACCUGGAUUAACAGGUUAACAUUCCUGAUCAUCAGGAAUGUUACUGAGGCUCUCAAGUGGGCUUUGGAACCCCAAGAUGCUGGUGUACCCUAAAUUCAUCUGAAUUCUCCCCAUCUUCCUCUUUUGGUCUUUUAGCCACAACUCCCAACAUCACAACUUCUUAAGGCUUCCUCCAGAGUCCGGAGGAUCAGGAUGUAGGGUGAUGGCCAAAGUUGGAAGCUGGAGCAUUUAGCCCAUAUCCCGUACUAGAGUGAUCUGUGUCCUGGCUGCUCUGCUUCCAAUCCAGCUUCCUGCUAAUGUGCACAGCAGAGGCGUCAGAGGAUGGCUCACUCCUGCGGGAAACUUGCAUGGAGCUCCUGGCUCCUGAUUUCAGCCUGGCCCUGCCCUGUGUUGAGGGCAUUUGGGAAGUGAACCAGUGGAUGCAAAUCUCCCUCUGUGUCAGGCACUGUUUCUCUACCUUCCAAAUAAACCGUAAAUAAAUAACUU